This 395-nucleotide unclassified non-coding RNA is filed under the name soil metagenome. RNAcentral describes it as "partial contains 5.8S ribosomal RNA, internal transcribed spacer 2, and large subunit ribosomal RNA". The stretch from base 1 to 122 matches the Rfam family "5.8S ribosomal RNA", at positions 35 to 154 of the family's 154-position model. The record is from RNAcentral.
GAUGAAGAACGCAGCGAAAUGCGAUACUUGGUGUGAAUUGCAGAACCCCGUGAACCAUCGAGUCUUUGAACGCAAGUUGCGCCCGAAGCCAUCAGGUUGAGGGCACGUCUGCCUGGGCGUCACAUAUCGUUGCCCAAUGCCUAUUGCAGUGCAAUAGGAAUUUCUAGGGCGAAUGAUGGCUUCCCGUGAGCGUUGUUGCCUCGCGGUUGGUUGAAAAUCGAGUCCUUGGUAGGGUGUGCCAUGGUAGAUGGUGGUCGAGUUAGAACGAUACCGAUCAUGUGCAUGCUCCCCAAAAUAUGGCCUCUAUGACCCACACGCGUCUUUUGACGCUCAUGACGAGACCUCAGGUCAGGCGGGGCUACCCGCUGAAUUUAAGCAUAUCAAUAAGCGGAGGA